This 5730-nucleotide long non-coding RNA is filed under the name Theobroma cacao (cacao). RNAcentral's name for it is "long non-coding RNA (TCAC_LNC001189)". Lineage: Eukaryota; Viridiplantae; Streptophyta; Magnoliopsida; Malvales; Malvaceae. The record is from RNAcentral.
AGGUGGUGAGUCCUCCAAUAAAGGCAAGGAAAUUGCAUCCGAGGACCAGUAGACAGAGUGCUUCGAAAGUCUGCAUUCUAGACAUUGUGAGUAAACUUAUUAUCGUCUUAAUUAUCUAGAGUAGUUUUAUACAACUAUGUGAUUUUAUGAAAAAUGGGUUUAAAUGGUAAAUUGUUAUGUUUUAAGGGAAAUUGUGAUUUUAUAAAAUGAUUUUAUAAAUUUUCUGAAAAAUCGAAUAUUGGUUUUGAAAAUAGAGUAAUUGGAGACUGCUAGUUUGUGUUGCAAAUUUAUGGUUCUGAAUUGAAUGGCUUAUGACAAUAAAUGAGCAUGAAUGGCUAAACUGAUUUUGGUGUUAUAAUUAUUUAUACUGUGUAUUCAGCCUUGAGAGGCUAGGUUGUGAUAAAUUGCCAUGACAUGCUAGAAUGAAUUUUAUUGAUUGGUGGAUUAUAUAUUAAUUAUUUACUGCAGAGGGGGUUCCGUGGACCAGCCUAUUAGAGGGGCACGGUAAACUCCAUUAUAUUAUUACCUCGAACGGAGAGGCGCGUAGGGUAUCUCCUGGGGUAUAGCUUAGGGUUCACUUCACGCCAAACCACCACGUGAAGGGGAACUCAGCCAACGCCAAGGAACGGCUGUAUUUUUUCAAACAAAAUAUAUUUUAAGUUUACACAAAAUUUUAACAGCCUUUGGCGGACUCGGUUAGAUGCCCUGCGCAAGGUAUCACCGAGUAUGAGUUUUUGGCACAAGCCAAAUUUUAAGAAAUUCAUAAGCCAAGUUGAUUACUCGAUUUUUAUGGAUUGAUUUUAUUUGGUUGAAAUGAGUUGAAUGGUAAUGAAAUUACAGUAUGAUGAUUUAUUUUAAUUGUCUCCAUUUACUCGACUUUAGAUAGUUUAGAUGGUAUCUGUUUACUCACUGGGAUUUUAUAAUCUCACCACCCUCAUUUCCUCACAUUUCAGGCUCAGGGAAUUCCGUAGUUAGCUGACUUGAACAAGGACCUUCAUUUGGACUCGAAUCGGUAAAAGCUGUAGGUUUCCAGCUUCCGAUGCAUUUUGGAUAGAUAUGGGCCCACGUGUCACUGUAAAAGAAAUUUUAUGCUUUGGUUAUUUGCUUUAUAGUAUAUAUGAAUAUAAUUAUCUUUUACGUUAUAAGAAUUAUGUAACGAUAGUUUUAUGAAAAUUAUUUUACAAGAAAAUAGUUUAUUUUAUUGAAUAUUUUUAUAAUAUUCAAAUGGUCAAAUUUUCACUUCAAAUGAACGUUUUAGAUACUUAAUUUUUUUUUUCUCAUUAAGUAUAUAUUUUCGGCUUACCUACUACUUUUUUAGCAAGUUUUGAGAUUUUUGACCAAAAAUGACGAAAAUGCCCCUGUGAGCCAAAAAAAAAAUAUAUGUUAUGUUAUGAUUUGGAAAUGAUUUGUAAUCCUUCGUAUUUUGAUUAUUUGAUAACUAUUGCUCACCAGGGAAGUGCGAAAGCUGAUACGAGAGCCUUGCGAGGUUUCGAUCGACAUUCGGGGUGAAGAAUGUUUGUCGAGGCUUCGCGGCGGUUGUCACGGGCUCGAUGGGGAGUUCCGGGUCGUGACAUUAUCUAUACUCUGUGACUCAAAUUGAAUUCCUACUCUCAAAAAAUGAAAUUUGUGGAUCUGAGUUACUUUAUUUUGUAUUUUGGUCAAACAAUUUGGUAAAAGUCGUAAACUCCAUAAGUGGUAACUAAAAUUGAGAACUGUUAAUUGCUUCAAGUCUUAUCAUCUAAAAGAUGAGAUUACUUGAUGCAUAAAUAAAAGAGAAAAUUGUGAGAAAUGGUCAACCUUUUAAGGCCAUUUCCAAAAUAACCCUAAUAUAAAGUUAAUUAUUUUUAUCUAAUUUUUGGCAUGACUUCCAAAAAUGCCUUUGAAGCCAUUUGAGAAAAAAUAAACCAUAUAUCACAAUUUUCCCUCCUGAUUUCUUUCUCCCGCACUCAUCUGUUGUGCUCUCGAUUUUUCUCUCUUGCCAUCCAACUCUCUUUAAUUUUGGCACCAGCGCCAUCUCUCUCUGUCUAUUUCUCGUCAUAUCGUCGUUGAUCUAUAAAUCAAAGAGUAAAAAUGACAUCAAUGUAUGUUCUUGGGUUUAUUGUUUUAUAGAAUCCCAAAGUUAAUGAGUUGAAGUUAUAAGUAAAAUUUGUAAAUUAGAACACUACUUAGAGUUGUUACACGCCAUAGCUUCAUGUAACAACUCUAAUGCACUUAGCGUGUAACAAAUCUAUUGAAUAUAGCAUGUAACUUGAUCUUUAUCUUUGUAUUUCAAUAGGACAUAAGCUCUUGGAGUAUUGUAUUUCACUAAGACAUAAACUCUUGGAGUUAAGUACCUGAAAUAUGGCUUGUAACAACCUUUAUUUCAACAUGGCGUUUAAUAACUUUUUUUAACAUGGCAUGCGACAACAAAAUUUUUUGAAUAUGGUGUGUAACUUGGUCCCUAUCUUUGUAUUUCAUUAGAAUAUAAAGGCUUAGAGUUAAGCACUUUAAACAUAACAUGUAACAACUUUAUUUCAACAUGGCAUGUAAUUUGGUCUUUAUCUUUUUAUUUCACUAGGAUAUAAACUCUUAGAGUUAAACACCUUGAACAUGGCGUGUAACAACUUUAUUCUUCAACAUGACGUGUAAUAAUAUUUUUUUGAACAUGGCAUGUAACAACAUUAUUUUUUGAACAUGACGUGUAACUUGGUUUCUAUUUUUGUAUUUUAUUAAGAUAUAAACUCUUGGAGUUAAACACCUUAAAUAUGACAUGUAACAACAUUUUUUCCAACACAUGUGCUUGAAUAUGAGGAGGUUUUGUUAAGGAUAAUUUUGUCUAAAAAUUUUUUCUCUUGGCUAAAAAUAGUUAAAAUUAAAAAGAGAGUUAUUUUCGAAAAUACCUUAACUUUGAGGACUAAAAAAGUCAUCCCUAAAUAAGAUAGAAGAGUCAAACUAAUAAACUAAUUGACAUAUUAAAUGAGAGAAAAGUUUUUGAGACUAGUACUAUUUUGGUUUUAGUAUUUUCAUGUUUUUAGAAUUCUACCAUAUUAUAUAUAAUUUUUCUUUGUGUCACCAGAUGUUACUUUCGAUCUGAUCUGACAAUGUUUGGCCGUAAUGGUCACUAAAAAUGGUAUGAAUAGGAUUCUAGUUGUUAUGUUGGCCACUAAACCUUCGUUAUAUUUCAAUGGAGGUGGGCUUGUAUUUUGACAACGAUGAAUCUUGAAAUACCCCAUACUUUGAUAUAGUGAUAAAUAAAGUUGAUCGAAUGCAAAUUGAGGUCAAUUAAAAUGUUUAAAAGUGAUAAAAGAUGAAAGGAGUAGUUUAGGAUAAAAUAUUUCGCAAGUGAGAAAAUAACAAUAAAAUAAUAAUAAUUUUAUCAUAGGAGAAUUUGUGAGAUAAAAGACGAUUCAGAAGUCAAGUGAGGCAUAAUAAGGUAUUUCAAGUACCAAGGAGACAAGAUAAAUUUUUAGAAAUAAAUAAUAUUUUAUUAAUAAAAUAAUAUUAAAAUAUUAAUAUUUAGCCGGAUGUCGAAGUCAAUCAAGAAGGAGGAUCAUAUGGUUGAUCCAAAGUGGGGGAGAAAAUGACAAGCCCGACUCUACAGAAAUAUUUGUCAUGACAUACAUGUGGUGGAUAACAUGUUUACAUGCUAAGAAAGUCUUGAAAAAAUUUUCAAAAGUCGGUAUUGUACCUAGAGCUACAAUAAAGUUGAUUUAAGCCUCGAACUAGAUCAAAUAGAGAAUUCACGAUGAACUUAAGAAUUUUAAAGUCCCAGAAUGGUUUAAUAUGGUGAUUCGGAGUUCGAGGAUCAAUUUGGAGUCAAACCGGAAUUUUCGCUAUCUAGGGGCAAAAUGGUCAUUUGCCACCUGAGGACAAAAUGGAAAUUUUUAGAAAAGAUUUUUGGCCCCAUUUGACUUAUUGGAGUAAGAUUUGAGGUUUAGAAGUGAAAAAUUUUAAUUUCGGUAUAAUUUGGAGAAAAAGGGUAAAAUGGUAAUUUUGCCAUCCGAAAUCGAAAAUUUAAUUUUUGAAAGGAUUUUGAUCAAAUUUAAUUAUUUGGAGUGUGAAAUGAGUAUGAGGAGUGCAAAUUAUGCAUUAUGGCAAAUUUUCAAUUUUUGGGGCAAAAAUGUAAUUUUUGAAAAGUUCGGGGGCAAAAGUGUAAUUUUGAAAAAUUUGCUCCACCAAAACUUUGGAAAAAUCUGGAAAUUUCACUUAAGACUUGGAUAAGUCAAAGGGAAUGCAUGGUGGAAAAAGUAGGACAAAUGGAUGGCUAGAAAAAAAAAUGAAUUAAUAAAAUAUUUAAAAUAUGAAUAAAAUAAUAUUAUUUCAUUAAACAAUAAAAAAGGCAUAAAAAAAUCAGCCCACCCAUUCUUCUUCUUCAACAUUCGGCCAAGCAAGAAACAAGAGAGAGAAAGGAGAAAAUAAAACCCUAGCUAAGAAAUUUAAAGGGAAAAUAGGUGGAAAUUCAAAAAUCAAGUGAAAAAAGGUAACAUUUCUUAAAUUUGUCUUGUGCUUUACCUUUCCCAUGCAUUUUCCAUCAUUUUUCAUGGUUGAAUCAUGUGAUUUGAGGAUGAUUUCAAUUCUGGUCAUAUGGGUUUAGAGAGAGAAAGUUGUUAGAUAAAUUUGAUUUUGAGCUAUGUUAGUGUUUAGUGUUAGUUUAGCAUGUUUAUGAGUAAAACAACAAGAAAAAUAUUUAUCUUCUCCAUGAAUUUCUCUAGGCCGAAUCUAGCCAAUGGUAUGUGAGGAUGAGGUUGACUUUAUUUUAAGAGAAUUGGGUGGAAAAAUGAUGAAUUAUGAGGUUGGAAAUUAAAUGGGAAUUUUCGGUGCAAUAAAUUGAAAUUUUUACCCACUAGGGGUAAAAGCGUAAUUUAUAGUCCGGACUGAUAAAUUGGACCAAAUUCACAGUCAUUGAGGUAUUGUGGAUAUAAUUGGAUAAUUGAAAUUGAAAUGGAUGGAAUUGGAGUCGAAUUGGGGAUUUUAGGAAUUUACACCGUGUAUAGGCGAGUUAGGUCGGACACCGCAAUUAAGCGAUUGUCUAGACAUUUCAAAUCCUAUCUAGUGCAUACGCAUGGAUAAGAGCCUGAAAUAAUUUAUGAUAAAUUGACACAAUUUAUUGAAUUUUGUGUCAUGGAUUAUGGAUAGGUGGUGAGUCAAUUGUUUCGGGUAAGAGACUGCACCCGAGGGCGGAAGAUAGGAGUAUUUCUACUCCUAAUACUGUGAGUAAACUUAUUAUCGUCUUAAUUAUCUAGAGUAGUUUUAUACAACUGUGUGAUUUUAUGAAAAAUGGGUUUAAAUGGUAAAUUGCUAUGUUUUAAGAGAAAUUGUGAUUUUAUAAAAUGAUUUUAUAAAUUUUCUGGAAAAUCGAAUAUUGGUUUUGAAAAUAGAGUAAUUGGAGACUGCUAGUUUGUGUUGCAAAUUUAUGGUUUUGAAUUGAAUGGCUUAUGACAAUAAAUGAGCAUGAAUGGCUAAACUGAUUUUGGUGUUAGAAUUAUUUAUACUGUGUAUUCAGCCUUGAGAGGCUAGGUUGCGAUAAAUUGCCAUGUCAUGCUAGAAUGAAUUUUAUUGAUUGGUGGAUUAUAUAUUAAUUAUUUACUGCAGAGGGGGUUCCGUGGACCAGCCUAUUAGAGGGGCACGGUAAACUCCAUUAUAUUAUUACCUCGAACGGAGAGGCGCGUAGGGUAUCUCCUGGGGUAAAGCUUAGGGUUCACUUCACGCCAAACCACCACGUGAAGGGGAACUCAGCCAACGCCAAGGAAC